Molecule: ribosomal RNA, 240 nt
Filed under: uncultured bacterium
Lineage: Bacteria
Description: partial 16S ribosomal RNA
Rfam family: Bacterial small subunit ribosomal RNA
Source: RNAcentral
AGCGGCGGACGGGUGAGUAACGCGUGGGUAACCUGCCUCAUACAGGGGGAUAACAGUUGGAAGCGGCUGCUAAUACCGCAUAAGCGCACAGUACCGCAUGGUACGGUGUGAAAAACUCCGGUGGUAUGAGAUGGACCCGCGUCUGAUUAGGUAGUUGGUGGGGUAACGGCCUACCAAGCCGACGAUCAGUAGCCGACCUGAGAGGGUGACCGGCCACAUUGGGACUGAGACACGGCCCAA